RNAcentral lists this ribosomal RNA (547 nucleotides) under Burkholderia territorii. Its description in RNAcentral is "bacterial SSU rRNA". It matches the Rfam family "Bacterial small subunit ribosomal RNA", at positions 377 to 918 of the family's 1533-position model. The record is from RNAcentral. Lineage: Bacteria; Pseudomonadati; Pseudomonadota; Betaproteobacteria; Burkholderiales; Burkholderiaceae.
GCGAACCUGAUCCAGCAUGCCGCGUGUGUGAAGAAGGCCUUCGGGUUGUAAAGCACUUUUGUCCGGAAAGAAAUCCUUGGUCCUAAUAUGGCCGGGGGAUGACGGUACCGGAAGAAUAAGCACCGGCUAACUACGUGCCAGCAGCCGCGGUAAUACGUAGGGUGCAAGCGUUAAUCGGAAUUACUGGGCGUAAAGCGUGCGCAGGCGGUUUGCUAAGACCGAUGUGAAAUCCCCGGGCUCAACCUGGGAACUGCAUUGGUGACUGGCAGGCUAGAGUAUGGCAGAGGGGGGUAGAAUUCCACGUGUAGCAGUGAAAUGCGUAGAGAUGUGGAGGAAUACCGAUGGCGAAGGCAGCCCCCUGGGCCAAUACUGACGCUCAUGCACGAAAGCGUGGGGAGCAAACAGGAUUAGAUACCCUGGUAGUCCACGCCCUAAACGAUGUCAACUAGUUGUUGGGGAUUCAUUUCCUUAGUAACGUAGCUAACGCGUGAAGUUGACCGCCUGGGGAGUACGGUCGCAAGAUUAAAACUCAAAGGAAUUGACGGGG